This 460-nucleotide ribosomal RNA is filed under the name uncultured bacterium. RNAcentral describes it as "bacterial SSU rRNA". It matches the Rfam family "Bacterial small subunit ribosomal RNA", at positions 28 to 507 of the family's 1533-position model. The record is from RNAcentral.
AACGAACGCUGGCGGCAGGCCUAACACAUGCAAGUCGAGGGGGAAGCCAUUUUUCGGAUGGUGGAGACCGGCGCACGGGUGAGUAACGCGUGGGCACCUGCCCUGGGGUGGGGGAUAACCGGCUGGAAACGGCGGCUAAUACCGCAUACGCCCUAUUCCUGUAGAGGGGAUGGGGGAAAGAUUUUAUUGCCCUGGGAUGGGCCCGCGUUGGAUUAGCUUGUUGGUGGGUAAAGGCCUACCAAGGCGACGAUCCAUAGCUGGUCUGAGAGGAUGAUCAGCCACACUGGGACUGAGACACGGCCCAGACUCCUACGGGAGGCAGCAGUGGGGAAUAUUGGACAAUGGGGGCAACCCUGAUCCAGCCAUGCCGCGUGCGUGAAGAAGGCCUUAGGGUUGUAAAGCGCUUUCACCGGUGACGAUGAUGACGGUAGCCGGAGAAGAAGCCCCGGCUAACUCCGUG